GACAUGAGCUCACUCCAGAGAGGCUGGUAUUAGAGGAGAAGGGAGAGAGGGAUUGUUUUUUGGAUCCAAACCAGGGAAAAGGAGUGGCUGUUAUUACGGCAUAAAAGUAUGGGCUCCAAAGGAGAUGGUUGAGCUGCCCGUGAAGAUCCGGCUUCUGGGCCUCCAGGCUAAUCUCCUAGGAGCAGUCAGUGGUUAGUGAGCUGGGUUCAGAAUCUUUUCACUCUGCCUUUUUCUGCCUGGAAAUUGGACUCGAGAGGUGGGAGUCUCCCCUCUACUCUUGACUCACCUAUUUCAUGCUUCCUUUCAUCUGUGUGCGCUCCCCAGUGAGGUCACACUGGUGAGUUCAGAUGGAUUGAGGAGUCCGAAGAGCAGAAAUAAAAGUUCUUUAACUGCCACCAAGUUACAGAUGCCACCAUGACGCCAACCUGACUUUCCUGGGCAGAUGGACCUCACCAAUGUGUCCCGGUACCCCACCUCUCCACAGCCCUGCCCCACUAGGGAAAGACAGAAACAGGCUAGGUGUAUGGAUCAACCUACCAAAGCCCAUGUCCAGUGGAGAAGCAAUUAUAGAAGCCAGACUCCCACCUUCUGCAUCCCAUAAUGAUCUUGGGUCCAUGCUUCCAGAGGGAUAAAGAAUAGAAACACUCCCAAUGGAGGGAUGGGAUACAGUACUCUGGUGGUGGGAUUGUGUGGAAUUGUACCCCUCUUAUCCUAUGGUCUUGUUGAUCUAUUAAAUCAGUAAAAAAUAAAGAUGUGCAUUCUAUUGAGAGCACCACCACUCUCUCCCCCA
Molecule: long non-coding RNA, 790 nt
Organism: Erinaceus europaeus (western European hedgehog)
Lineage: Eukaryota; Metazoa; Chordata; Mammalia; Eulipotyphla; Erinaceidae
Exons: 2
Source: RefSeq, a predicted model, not a curated record